AGGACGAACGCUGGCGGCGUGCUUAACACAUGCAAGUCGAGCGAGGCCCUUCCUUCGGGAAGGUGCCCUAGCGGCGAACGGGUGAGUAACACGUGGGCAACCUGCCCCUAGCACUGGGAUAACUCCGGGAAACCGGGGCUAAUACCGGAUAUGACCUCCGAGGGCAUCCUUGGUGGUGUAAAGGAUUCUGGCUAGGGAUGGGCCCGCGGCCUAUCAGCUUGUUGGUGGGGUAAUGGCCUACCAAGGCGACGACGGGUAGCCGGCCUGAGAGGGCGACCGGCCACACUGGGACUGAGACACGGCCCAGACUCCUACGGGAGGCAGCAGUGGGGAAUAUUGCACAAUGGGCGAAAGCCUGAUGCAGCGACGCCGCGUGAGGGAUGACGGCCUUCGGGUUGUAAACCUCUUUCAGCAGGGACGAAGCGAAAGUGACGGUACCUGCAGAAGAAGCACCGGCCAACUACGCGCCAGCAGCCGC
This 478-nucleotide ribosomal RNA is filed under the name uncultured bacterium. RNAcentral's name for it is "SSU rRNA". It matches the Rfam family "Bacterial small subunit ribosomal RNA", at positions 26 to 518 of the family's 1533-position model. The record is from RNAcentral.